This is a long non-coding RNA of Myzus persicae (green peach aphid), 1454 nucleotides long. RefSeq lists it as uncharacterized. The record is from RefSeq and is a predicted model, not a curated record. The transcript is spliced from 3 exons. NCBI's taxonomy places the organism in Eukaryota, Metazoa, Arthropoda, Insecta, Hemiptera, Aphididae.
UUGUAAUAGGUAACACUGUUAGAAAUGUGGAUUUUAGUCACGGACACGGUUUUAGAUAUACAGGUUACUCAACGGAGCUCAACCGCUAGGCGCCAGCCCUAGCGUGACGUGUGUCAUCACUGCGGUACACUGCACUUUCACGGUGCGACUUUUUAUUUCAGGCUUACUCGUAGGAACAAUACGGCCAAUACGGGGAACACCCGAAAACUAGAGAAAACCGGCUCGAAAAAUUGGAAAAAACAAAUGAAUCAGAAACUGGAAAAAUUUGUGAGAAUGGAAAACGGAACCACAACACCCAAUAUGAAGCAGGGUCAAAUGUUCUUAUUGAAAAAAUAGCUUGGGUGACCCCAUGAACAUUAGAUUAUUAUCAGAUAUUCUCUAGUGAAUUCCACCAUAGUCAUUAGUCACCCACCCUCACACCGCUUAGUCAGCAUCAUAGACCUAAACAUUCGACCAAAAUGAUGAUGAUGAGACCGACAACGAUACUGAGACUGAUGAUGAUGAUGGAGACGGCGACGAUGAUUACAAUGACGAUAUACUCGGAAAAUCUUCUAAUCGGAAAGAUACUAGUAUCUAUAUCCGUGACCACACCACCACCGGUGUCAUGCAGUCAUGCUUUCUCAUGACUGAAGAAUAGACGGUGGACAUGGACUACAUAGGCCGUCGAUCACUGGCUUCUGCGGGCCACUGCAGCUGCGGCACAAACUUCAAUUUAAUAUCCAGUCGUCCCCUGAGCUCAGUAUACCGUGGAGUGAACUCUUUCCCGCCCGUGCAGUCGGCAGAAAUCCCACGUGAACCUGCACGCAGAUCAGUUUGGAAGAGAUCUAAAAGAUGCGUGUGGCAAUGUUUGGUGAACGUCGCACGCAGAAUAAUGUGAACUUUGGGGCCUGUCGAUGUGCCUGAACACAUUCUCCGACCACCAAUGUUGCUACGGGUUUCGCGGACGUAGUGCACUCGGUCGACGUUGACGUGCUACUCGUGCCAGAGUAGCCAGACUCUGGGUGUUCGGCGACCGUCCUGCAGCACUACGGUCGCGUGGAGCCACGGCCAACAAAGACGACGGUACGGCGGCUGAUAGAGGUACCGGUGCUGACAACGAUCCCGCGCCGACGAUGACGACUCAUAGCGGCGACUGCGGAGACUUAUGGCGCGUGGUGAGUGGUAGAGACUAGAGAUGUGUCUUGGUCACAAGGAUCACGGUCCACGGAAGUCAGCUCCGUCCAUCAAAGCUCACAACAUCGCGCACUAGCCGCCGUCGACCAUUGCUCCCAUGGCCUUCUCGGUCAGACCUCGCCGGCCGAGCAAGUUUGUCACUCAUCCGCCGGACCGGUCGUGGGAACGUUGUGGAGGUGACCAGUAGCCAAACGUACAAAUUUGCACCCAAUCGCCAUAUCGUACAUUCAUCUCCUUGUGUCUCCUGACCGGUGUUUUUUUUUUUUAGUAGCACGUUUGCU